This 499-nucleotide long non-coding RNA is filed under the name Equus caballus (horse). RNAcentral describes it as "lncRNA (ENSECAG00000055217.1)". Lineage: Eukaryota; Metazoa; Chordata; Mammalia; Perissodactyla; Equidae. The record is from RNAcentral.
GUUGGGAUGGCUACAUUGUGCACGAGGGUUUUAAUUCUUUGGAUUGUCGAAAGAUGACAAAAAGGGAAUGGAUAUUCCAGAUCGUGUUAUGUCACUUCCACUGGAAAUUUUCUUAUUAGAAGACUUCCUGAUCCAUGUGCUAAAGAGGAUGAAACUCUGUGAUUGAUUGAUUUAACUGUGUGGAAUCCCACAUAGCAAAUCUUAAAAUAGAAGUGGAAAACCAUCCUGGGGAAUUCAAGACAGUCAAUGCGAUUUAUCAUUCAUAAAGGAUACCUUUAAUGAGUUGCUCUGCAGACACUGGCAGAGUUGUAGCUAUAGCCGGGAUCGGAGUGAAGAAGAAAUUUCUGUCUUGUGUUCUUGACACACAUGGCAGAAGCAAAUGAAAAGGCCCAAAGGGUGUCUUCCUUUCACUUUCAGUUCACAAUACAGUAGCUGCCCUUGCCUAUGAGUUCCGUCCAAUAUAAGCUUAAACUCCGGCCCCGGCAAUGGGCUAGCUGAG